RNAcentral lists this ribosomal RNA (430 nucleotides) under uncultured bacterium. RNAcentral's name for it is "bacterial SSU rRNA". It matches the Rfam family "Bacterial small subunit ribosomal RNA", at positions 355 to 776 of the family's 1533-position model. The record is from RNAcentral.
UGGGGAAUAUUGCACAAUGGGCGCAAGCCUGAUGCAGCGACGCCGCGUGAGGGAAGAAGGUUUUCGGAUUGUAAACCUCUGUUAAGUGGGAAAAAAUACCGAUGGUUAAUACCCAAUCGGGGAUGAUGGUACCACUAGAGAAAGUACCGGCAAACUUCGUGCCAGCAGCCGCGGUAAUACGAAGGGUACGAGCGUUAUUCGGAGUUACUGGGCGUAAAGAGCGUGUAGGCGGUUAGUUAAGUUAGAUGUUAAAUUCCCCGGCCUAACCGGGGAUCCGCAACUAAAACUGGCUGACUAGAGUACAAGAGAGAGAAGUAGAAUUCCCGGAGUAGCGGUAAAAUGCGUAGAUCUCGGGAGGAAUACCGAUGGCGAAGGCAGCUUCUUGGCUUGUAACUGACGCUAAAGCGCGAAAGCGUGGGGAGCAAACAGG